This 482-nucleotide ribosomal RNA is filed under the name uncultured bacterium. RNAcentral describes it as "partial 16S ribosomal RNA". It matches the Rfam family "Bacterial small subunit ribosomal RNA", at positions 28 to 523 of the family's 1533-position model. The record is from RNAcentral.
GACGAACGCUGGCGGCGUGCUUAACACAUGCAAGGCGAACGAUGAAGAAGAGCUUGCUCUUCGGAUUAGUGGCGAACGGGUGAGUAACACGUGACUAACCUGCCCCUUUCUCUGGGAUAACGCUCCGAAAGGAGUGCUAAUACCGGAUACUCACAUCGAGGCACAUGCCUUGAUGUGGAAAGUUUUUCGGAAAGGGAUGGGGUAGCGGCCUAUCAGCUUGUUGGUGAGGUAACGGCUCACCAAGGCGACGACGGGUAGCCGGCCUGGGAGGGCGACCGGCAACCAUGGGGCUGAGACACGGCCCAGACUCCUGCGGGAGGCAGCAGUGGGGAAUAUUGCACAAUGGGCGAAAGCCUGAUGCAGAGACGCCGCGUGAGGGAUGAAGGUCUUCGGAUUGUAAACCUCUUUCAGUAGGGACGAAGCGAAAGUGACGGUACCUAAAGAAGAAGCACCGGCUAACUACGUGCCAGCCGCCGCCGUAA